UCCCCCAGAAUCUAGUGAGGAGAAAAGGA
Molecule: non-coding RNA, 29 nt
Filed under: Mus musculus (house mouse)
Lineage: Eukaryota; Metazoa; Chordata; Mammalia; Rodentia; Muridae
Source: RNAcentral